This 2930-nucleotide ribosomal RNA is filed under the name Escherichia coli. Its description in RNAcentral is "23S ribosomal RNA". It matches the Rfam family "Bacterial large subunit ribosomal RNA". The record is from RNAcentral. Lineage: Bacteria; Pseudomonadati; Pseudomonadota; Gammaproteobacteria; Enterobacterales; Enterobacteriaceae.
GGGUUGUGAGGUUAAGCGACUAAGCGUACACGGUGGAUGCCCUGGCAGUCAGAGGCGAUGAAGGACGUGCUAAUCUGCGAUAAGCGUCGGUAAGGUGAUAUGAACCGUUAUAACCGGCGAUUUCCGAAUGGGGAAACCCAGUGUGUUUCGACACACUAUCAUUAACUGAAUCCAUAGGUUAAUGAGGCGAACCGGGGGAACUGAAACAUCUAAGUACCCCGAGGAAAAGAAAUCAACCGAGAUUCCCCCAGUAGCGGCGAGCGAACGGGGAGCAGCCCAGAGCCUGAAUCAGUGUGUGUGUUAGUGGAAGCGUCUGGAAAGGCGCGCGAUACAGGGUGACAGCCCCGUACACAAAAAUGCACAUGCUGUGAGCUCGAUGAGUAGGGCGGGACACGUGGUAUCCUGUCUGAAUAUGGGGGGACCAUCCUCCAAGGCUAAAUACUCCUGACUGACCGAUAGUGAACCAGUACCGUGAGGGAAAGGCGAAAAGAACCCCGGCGAGGGGAGUGAAAAAGAACCUGAAACCGUGUACGUACAAGCAGUGGGAGCACGCUUAGGCGUGUGACUGCGUACCUUUUGUAUAAUGGGUCAGCGACUUAUAUUCUGUAGCAAGGUUAACCGAAUAGGGGAGCCGAAGGGAAACCGAGUCUUAACUGGGCGUUAAGUUGCAGGGUAUAGACCCGAAACCCGGUGAUCUAGCCAUGGGCAGGUUGAAGGUUGGGUAACACUAACUGGAGGACCGAACCGACUAAUGUUGAAAAAUUAGCGGAUGACUUGUGGCUGGGGGUGAAAGGCCAAUCAAACCGGGAGAUAGCUGGUUCUCCCCGAAAGCUAUUUAGGUAGCGCCUCGUGAAUUCAUCUCCGGGGGUAGAGCACUGUUUCGGCAAGGGGGUCAUCCCGACUUACCAACCCGAUGCAAACUGCGAAUACCGGAGAAUGUUAUCACGGGAGACACACGGCGGGUGCUAACGUCCGUCGUGAAGAGGGAAACAACCCAGACCGCCAGCUAAGGUCCCAAAGUCAUGGUUAAGUGGGAAACGAUGUGGGAAGGCCCAGACAGCCAGGAUGUUGGCUUAGAAGCAGCCAUCAUUUAAAGAAAGCGUAAUAGCUCACUGGUCGAGUCGGCCUGCGCGGAAGAUGUAACGGGGCUAAACCAUGCACCGAAGCUGCGGCAGCGACGCUGAUGCGUUGUUGGGUAGGGGAGCGUUCUGUAAGCCUGCGAAGGUGUGCUGUGAGGCAUGCUGGAGGUAUCAGAAGUGCGAAUGCUGACAUAAGUAACGAUAAAGCGGGUGAAAAGCCCGCUCGCCGGAAGACCAAGGGUUCCUGUCCAACGUUAAUCGGGGCAGGGUGAGUCGACCCCUAAGGCGAGGCCGAAAGGCGUAGUCGAUGGGAAACAGGUUAAUAUUCCUGUACUUGGUGUUACUGCGAAGGGGGGACGGAGAAGGCUAUGUUGGCCGGGCGACGGUUGUCCCGGUUUAAGCGUGUAGGCUGGUUUUCCAGGCAAAUCCGGAAAAUCAAGGCUGAGGCGUGAUGACGAGGCACUACGGUGCUGAAGCAACAAAUGCCCUGCUUCCAGGAAAAGCCUCUAAGCAUCAGGUAACAUCAAAUCGUACCCCAAACCGACACAGGUGGUCAGGUAGAGAAUACCAAGGCGCUUGAGAGAACUCGGGUGAAGGAACUAGGCAAAAUGGUGCCGUAACUUCGGGAGAAGGCACGCUGAUAUGUAGGUGAGGUCCCUCGCGGAUGGAGCUGAAAUCAGUCGAAGAUACCAGCUGGCUGCAACUGUUUAUUAAAAACACAGCACUGUGCAAACACGAAAGUGGACGUAUACGGUGUGACGCCUGCCCGGUGCCGGAAGGUUAAUUGAUGGGGUCAGCGCAAGCGAAGCUCUUGAUCGAAGCCCCGGUAAACGGCGGCCGUAACUAUAACGGUCCUAAGGUAGCGAAAUUCCUUGUCGGGUAAGUUCCGACCUGCACGAAUGGCGUAAUGAUGGCCAGGCUGUCUCCACCCGAGACUCAGUGAAAUUGAACUCGCUGUGAAGAUGCAGUGUACCCGCGGCAAGACGGAAAGACCCCGUGAACCUUUACUAUAGCUUGACACUGAACAUUGAGCCUUGAUGUGUAGGAUAGGUGGGAGGCUUAGAAGUGUGGACGCCAGUCUGCAUGGAGCCGACCUUGAAAUACCACCCUUUAAUGUUUGAUGUUCUAACGUUGACCCGUAAUCCGGGUUGCGGACAGUGUCUGGUGGGUAGUUUGACUGGGGCGGUCUCCUCCUAAAGAGUAACGGAGGAGCACGAAGGUUGGCUAAUCCUGGUCGGACAUCAGGAGGUUAGUGCAAUGGCAUAAGCCAGCUUGACUGCGAGCGUGACGGCGCGAGCAGGUGCGAAAGCAGGUCAUAGUGAUCCGGUGGUUCUGAAUGGAAGGGCCAUCGCUCAACGGAUAAAAGGUACUCCGGGGAUAACAGGCUGAUACCGCCCAAGAGUUCAUAUCGACGGCGGUGUUUGGCACCUCGAUGUCGGCUCAUCACAUCCUGGGGCUGAAGUAGGUCCCAAGGGUAUGGCUGUUCGCCAUUUAAAGUGGUACGCGAGCUGGGUUUAGAACGUCGUGAGACAGUUCGGUCCCUAUCUGCCGUGGGCGCUGGAGAACUGAGGGGGGCUGCUCCUAGUACGAGAGGACCGGAGUGGACGCAUCACUGGUGUUCGGGUUGUCAUGCCAAUGGCACUGCCCGGUAGCUAAAUGCGGAAGAGAUAAGUGCUGAAAGCAUCUAAGCACGAAACUUGCCCCGAGAUGAGUUCUCCCUGACCCUUUAAGGGUCCUGAAGGAACGUUGAAGACGACGACGUUGAUAGGCCGGGUGUGUAAGCGCAGCGAUGCGUUGAGCUAACCGGUACUAAUGAACCGUGAGGCUUAACCUUACAACGCCGAAGCUGUU